UGGUGGAGUGAUCUGUCUGGUUUAUUCCGAUAACGAAUGAGACCUUAACCUGCUAAAUAGUAACGCGAACCUUCUAAUCGUGUUUUCCUUUUAACCUUGGCAACAUUGUUAACUGGUUUUCCGGAAUGGUUCUGCGGCUUUACUUCUUAGAGGGACUAUGCGUAUCGAGCGCAUGGAAGUUUGAGGCAAUAACA
RNAcentral lists this ribosomal RNA (194 nucleotides) under uncultured eukaryote. RNAcentral's name for it is "partial 18S ribosomal RNA". It matches the Rfam family "Eukaryotic small subunit ribosomal RNA", at positions 1299 to 1458 of the family's 1831-position model. The record is from RNAcentral.